Molecule: transfer RNA, 76 nt
Filed under: Heliorestis acidaminivorans
Lineage: Bacteria; Bacillati; Bacillota; Clostridia; Eubacteriales; Heliobacteriaceae
Also listed under: 1 other name
Description: tRNA-Glu
Rfam family: tRNA
About the family: Transfer RNA (tRNA) molecules are approximately 80 nucleotides in length. Their secondary structure includes four short double-helical elements and three loops (D, anti-codon, and T loops).
Source: RNAcentral
GGCCCGUUGGUCAAGUGGUCUAAGACACCGCCCUUUCACGGCGGUUACAGGGGUUCGAAUCCCCUACGGGUCACCA